AACGUAGGAGACAAACGUUAUCCGGAGUUACUGGGCGUAAAGGGCGUGUAGGCGGUUUGUUAAGUCUGGCGUGAAAGCUCUCGGCUAAACCGGGAGAGGUCGUUGGAUACUGGCAAACUUGAGGACGGUAGAGGCGUGUGGAAUUUCGGGUGUAGUGGUGAAAUGCGUAGAGAUCCGGAGGAACACCAGUGGCGAAGGCGACACGCUGGGCCGUACCUGACGCUAAAGCGCGACAGCAUGGGGAGCAAACGGG
This 253-nucleotide ribosomal RNA is filed under the name uncultured bacterium. RNAcentral's name for it is "partial 16S ribosomal RNA". It matches the Rfam family "Bacterial small subunit ribosomal RNA", at positions 524 to 776 of the family's 1533-position model. The record is from RNAcentral.